AAUUAUGCAGAUUUAUGCACGACGCUACGACACUCGCACAAACUGAGAAGAGUUAGUUCAUUGAGAAUGGAUUGAAACUGAUGAAGAUCAAGCUGGAAGGAGUUAACUGAUGAGUAGACAUUACAGCAUUUCUUAUAUAUGCAAGAUGAAGCUGAAAGUGCCAUGCAGGAUGAUGCUUCUCUACGGUGGAUGAUGAAGGCAUGCUGAUUACAAACCCAGGAGAGGAACAAAGAACAGAUAUUGACAGAAUCAUAUCUAGAGAUGUGGGCCUACUACACUUCAUACGAGCAAGUGUGCUAAUAUACAAUACUUGGGUUAUCAUCACAGCCCUUCUGAAAACUAGCCUACAACUUCAUUGAUGAAUGCAGAAGACAUCUACAUGGGACUACGUCUUAAAGAUGCCACCCUCAUAUAAUGAAAGAGGACAGUAGAGAUGGGUUUAAACUUGAAUAUUUACAUACUAUUUAUUUAUUAUUUGUAUUAUA
Strongylocentrotus purpuratus (purple sea urchin) is the source of this 485-nucleotide long non-coding RNA. RefSeq lists it as uncharacterized. NCBI's taxonomy places the organism in Eukaryota, Metazoa, Echinodermata, Echinoidea, Camarodonta, Strongylocentrotidae. The record is from RefSeq and is a predicted model, not a curated record. The transcript is spliced from 4 exons.